ACAGGAGGAGGGUCACAAUAAUCCAGAAGGAAGUUUUCUGUGGCUGAGGCUCAUCUCUUGCACUCCAGAUUUCUGGACUUCUGAUUUUCACAAAUGGGGGAGACUUUACUGCACAAUUUCUAGUAGCAGGAGACUGUGUUCGUAUUCUGCCA
This is a small nuclear RNA of Apteryx haastii (Great spotted kiwi), 152 nucleotides long. Its record names the gene U1. It matches the Rfam family "U1 spliceosomal RNA". Rfam says of the family: U1 is a small nuclear RNA (snRNA) component of the spliceosome (involved in pre-mRNA splicing). Its 5' end forms complementary base pairs with the 5' splice junction, thus defining the 5' donor site of an intron. There are significant differences in sequence and secondary structure between metazoan and yeast U1 snRNAs, the latter being much longer (568 nucleotides as compared to 164 nucleotides in human). NCBI's taxonomy places the organism in Eukaryota, Metazoa, Chordata, Aves, Apterygiformes, Apterygidae. The record is from Ensembl.